RNAcentral lists this ribosomal RNA (467 nucleotides) under uncultured bacterium. Its description in RNAcentral is "partial 16S ribosomal RNA". It matches the Rfam family "Bacterial small subunit ribosomal RNA", at positions 28 to 507 of the family's 1533-position model. The record is from RNAcentral.
GACGAACGCUGGCGGCGUGCUUAACACAUGCAAGUCGAACGGAAAGGCCUCUUUCGGGGGGUACUCGAGUGGCGAACGGGUGAGUAACACGUGAGUAACCUGCCCUUGACUUUGGGAUAACUUCAGGAAACUGGGGCUAAUACCGGAUAGGAGCUCCUGCUGCAUGGUGGGGGUUGGAAAGUUUCGGCGGUUGGGGAUGGACUCGCGGCUUAUCAGCUUGUUGGUGGGGUAGUGGCUUACCAAGGCUUUGACGGGUAGCCGGCCUGAGAGGGUGACCGGCCACAUUGGGACUGAGAUACGACCCAGACUCCUACGGGAGGCAGCAGUGGGGAAUAUUGCACAAUGGGUGGAAGCCUGAUGCAGCAACGCCGUGUGCGGGAGGACGGCCUUCGGGUUGUAAACCGCUUUCGCUCAUGACGAAGCUUUGUGUGACGGUAGUGGGUAAAGAAGCACCGGCUAACUACGUG